UUAGUUAAUUUGAAAUGCGAAUACGCCUGUCUCAUCGAAUAUCAUGUAUGUGUUUUUCAUGCAUGUAAAUUCGCUUUAGUGCAUGAACACAAAGGAUAUGAAGCAGUAACUUUCAAGUUAAAAACAUGUAGAUACGAUGACCUGAAUUUUCUACAAAUCAGCAGAAGCUAGAUAUUUUCCGAUGGUUUCUUUCUAUUGAUUUGAUAUGAUGC
Molecule: long non-coding RNA, 212 nt
Organism: Hibiscus syriacus
Lineage: Eukaryota; Viridiplantae; Streptophyta; Magnoliopsida; Malvales; Malvaceae
Exons: 3
Source: RefSeq, a predicted model, not a curated record